AUGAAGAAUACACGAAAAGGCAGACAUCACAUACUGUCUUUAUACGUUAUCUGAGUUAUGGGAAACCUAGAAAUAAAGCCGCAUGGCAUCAUCAUCAUGGUUUAUGAUUAUGAUCACCUGUUUUUCACCGCCUGUGCAGCUUAGUGCUGCCGUGGGCCACCGUUGGUGAGCUGGCCUAGCGAACUCCUGAGACGGUCCGAGAAGGCGGCCCACGUCUGUCUCGGAACAACUGACCUCCUCGUCACUUUCCCCUCUGUUACUGCCAUUCUGUGUCCCGCUGCACAGCACAUCUGAGGUUUUUGCACGAACCACUUGUCCCAUACAGGGUCGCGGAGCCAA
Scleropages formosus (Asian bonytongue) is the source of this 339-nucleotide long non-coding RNA. RefSeq lists it as uncharacterized. Lineage: Eukaryota; Metazoa; Chordata; Actinopteri; Osteoglossiformes; Osteoglossidae. The transcript is spliced from 3 exons. The record is from RefSeq and is a predicted model, not a curated record.